This is a long non-coding RNA of Scylla paramamosain (green mud crab), 1267 nucleotides long. RefSeq lists it as uncharacterized. Lineage: Eukaryota; Metazoa; Arthropoda; Malacostraca; Decapoda; Portunidae. The transcript is spliced from 3 exons. The record is from RefSeq and is a predicted model, not a curated record.
CAACUAAAAAAAAAAAAAAAAAAAAGACGUAUAAAUGUGAUGGGACUAUGUGAGUGUAGCUCGAGCCCUUUAAAUUACAACCAUAAGUAAAUACAACUAAGGCGCAUUCUUGUCAUCCAAGAUCGCACUUAUCUUCAAAGCCCGAUCUUUGGUGAAAACGAGGCAUCUUUUUCAGUUCUUCGAAAGUGUCUCGGAAAUGCAUUUUCCAGCACAUUCCUUUCACACAGGUCUCUUGGGAGCCUUGGAAUCUUACGGCGCUGGGUAGUUGUAAUGUUCCGAGGCUCCACUGGGACUUCAUAGCAGAAAUGGGCGCGGAAUGGAGCAGAGCAAAAGGCACAACCACUCGCAGGCAGUAAUGCAAACAUGUGUCACUUCCUACGCCCCAUUUGUUUACAUCUCACUACAGGAUUCGUGUAAGGACCAGUAUUGUGCCUGCCCAAACUGGGAUACAUCUUAUAAGCCGUCAAAUAUGGUAAAUUAUAGAAAAAUGUCCGAUUCACAUAAAAUCACACAAUACUGAGAGAGAGAGAGAGAGAGAGAGAGAGAGAGAGAGAUGCACGAUCAACUUAGCAGGGAAGAAGAAAUCCACUGUCACCUGACCCUAGCAUAAAAGGUGUGAAGGGCAUGUAGAAGAGAUUGCUACUAUGGCGAAUCUGCUGUGACAGCGCUGUGAACUUGCUGCAACACCACUGUGAAUCUGUUGUGACAGCGCUGCAACUGCGCUGUGACACCACUGCGAAUGUGCUGCGACUCCCAACCAUGCCGACUCCACUGUGAAUGUUUUGAACAGUCCAAAACAUUUGCUGUCGCCUGGCGAACGCGCUGCGACUCAACUCGCUCUGGCGACUCUGCUGCAACUGCGAGUCCAUUGUGAACACGUGGUAACUCCACUGCGAACGCACAGCAAGUCUACUGCGAACACGUGGCAACUCCACUGCGAACAAGUCGCAUCGGAAUCACAACGUCUUCUCCAACCAAAUUCACAAAUAUCUGAAUGGGACUUAAUGGUGCACUCAUUUUUCGUUCCAGUUAGACUUUUUGUUUUUCUAAUAAUACUCAACUUCUUAAUGAACUAAAUUAUAUGACUACUUAAGGUGAGUACAGCAAUGAGAACCUCACAUGAGUAAACCUUACCUUUUUGGUGUGGGUUGCCGUAAUGGCAUAAUUUGUUUACCUUCUGGGCAGGCUGUAGUGUCUCAGUUUGUUUAAGCUUUAUUUAGGUAUUUUUUUGGGGGACUAUUUAUUAAUUUUUUUGCUUUUAAUCAUA